This 558-nucleotide ribosomal RNA is filed under the name Vibrio fluvialis. RNAcentral's name for it is "bacterial SSU rRNA". It matches the Rfam family "Bacterial small subunit ribosomal RNA", at positions 474 to 1029 of the family's 1533-position model. Lineage: Bacteria; Pseudomonadati; Pseudomonadota; Gammaproteobacteria; Vibrionales; Vibrionaceae. The record is from RNAcentral.
GUUAGCUGCAGAAGAAGCACCGGCUAACUCCCGUGCCAGCAGCCCGCGGUAAUACGGAGGGUGCGAGCGUUAAUCGGAAUUACUGGGCGUAAAGCGCAUGCAGGUGGUUUGUUAAGUCAGAUGUGAAAGCCCGGGGCUCAACCUCGGAAUUGCAUUUGAAACUGGCAGGCUAGAGUACUGUAGAGGGGGGUAGAAUUUCAGGUGUAGCGGUGAAAUGCGUAGAGAUCUGAAGGAAUACCGGUGGCGAAGGCGGCCCCCUGGACAGAUACUGACACUCAGAUGCGAAAGCGUGGGGAGCAAACAGGAUUAGAUACCCUGGUAGUCCACGCCGUAAACGAUGUCUACUUGGAGGUUGUGGCCUUGAGCCGUGGCUUUCGGAGCUAACGCGUUAAGUAGACCGCCUGGGGAGUACGGUCGCAAGAUUAAAACUCAAAUGAAUUGACGGGGGCCCGCACAAGCGGUGGAGCAUGUGGUUUAAUUGGAUGCAACGCGAAGAACCUUACCUACUCUUGACAUCCUGUGAACUUAGCAGAGAUGCUUUGGUGCCUUCGGGAACUC